Molecule: non-coding RNA, 2020 nt
Organism: Arachis ipaensis
Lineage: Eukaryota; Viridiplantae; Streptophyta; Magnoliopsida; Fabales; Fabaceae
Source: RefSeq, a predicted model, not a curated record
ACUUGUCUUUUCAGUUUUCAUGGUUUUAAAUAUUCAAAUUAUUUUUUGAAAACCAUUUUCAUUAAUGAUUUUGCUUUAAAAGAGAAGGUUUGUUCAUUGCAUUAAUGACCCCCUUUACUCUUAAUCUCUCUCUCCCACUUCCCACCUUCGGCGCACCCUUUAUCUUCCCUUCUCCAUUCUUUUCUCUCAAAUAUGAGGAAGAAGAUUGCUACAAGAAGCACCGGAGCAUACAUUCCUUCCAAAAAUCCUCCUCAUUCCAAGUAACCACAGUUACACACACAUACACAUUCACUCACACUCCUCUUUUUUUCAUUCUUCACUAUCAUCCGAAUCCAUGGCAAGGAAGGUUGUUCACCAAAAGGGGUCUUCGGCUCAAAAAGAGACAGCAUCUUCCCAUGGUAAAAGUGCAAAGGAAGAGGAAGCCCCACCGUCACCUCCUCCUUGCCGCUCAGCUCCUCACCCCACUGGCCGUUCUGCUCCUAGUCAUCAUCCUUCUCGAGGUCCAAAACGCUCUAUUCUUCAAAAUACAAGGGAGCCCCUAAUCUCGAGUCUCUGGACUUCAAAUAGAAAUAUGGAUAAUCAAAGCACAUAUUGCGGGGGAGCAUAUUGAACAUAACAAAGGGGGAGAAAUAUGCGAAUCUUCAAAGGAAAGUAUUCUAUCCUAAUGUUUUCAAUUCAUUAUAAUAAUGUUUGUCAUCAAGGGGGAGAUUGUUGAGUUUAAAAAACUAAUAUUAAAUUAAUAUGAUGAACAAAUAUUAUUAAAAGUAUUAUUAAGUGAUUAAUAAAUUGUUUCCAAUUGUUUGUUUGAUGAAUUUGGUUUGUGUGUAGGAAAGAAAAUUAUUUUUUCUCGCCCAGUUAUUACAAGCAUAGUUUGACCAUUAAACAAGUUUAGCCUAAUACAAAUUUAUUUUAAAUCAUGUGGCUAAACUUUAGAAGGGUAGUAAAACCAAUUGGCCCAAGAAAUAAAUGUAAAGCCCAAGUCAACACUACUUUUGGUCCAAACAUAUCCUUAAUCCAAAAUAAAAGAAAAGAAGGAAAUGGACCCAGCAUUCUUCGGUUACCUACUCUUUUGGUUCAAGUAACACAUUUUCCAAGUUUCAACUCAAUUUAAUUUUAUUGAGACUUCCACCAAAAGCUAUUCUCUCUUCUCUCUCCUCUUUGUUGCUUUGGUCAAAUCAUUCAUUCAUCAAAGAAGAAGAAAGAAGGAAAUGGAAUGCUCAGAGGUUAGAUUAUGGAUGAUGGGAAAAACAUUUUUGCCAAAUCAAAGCAAAGUAAAGAAGGCUACAAUCCAGUAGCUAGACCUCUCGGUCAAGCACCACAAAAAGUUUCUUUUCCCUUUGUGCUUCACCAAGGAUCAAAGAAAAAAGCUUCAAGGUCUCAAGCAUGGAAAAAGCAACAAUGGAGAACGUGAAGCCAUCUUGGGUCAGAAGCAAAUCAACGCUCAGAAUUAAAACUUGGGGUCAAAGUCAAGUUCAAUGGUCAAGAUUGAAGAAGCUUGAAGAAAAAGGAUGAGAGAAAAGAGGUGAGCAUGCAUGCAAUAGCCUCGGUCCUCUCCCUCCUCUCUGUUGAGCCGUUGCUACUCUGAUGUUGAAGAAGAAGAAAGUGUGAGAGUUGAACUUGUUUCAACCUUGGAAGCUUCACCCUUCUAUAUUAAGGGUGAACGGCCAAGGGUUGAAGGCAAGGAGAAUAAGUGAAAAAUACAGAAUUCACUCUCAUAGCUACCCAAACUUUAGAGUUCUUUUCCUUCAUGUAGUUUAUUUUGUAUUUUCUUUUUCGCUACCCAAACUUUAGAGUUCUUUUCCUUCAUGUAGUUUAUUUUGUAUUUUCUUUUUCUCAGUGUGGAUCUAUCUGAGUCUCAUUGUGUGAAGUUUGUAAGAAAAAGUUAACGAGAGGUAAAAGGCAGUGAGUUAAAACAAUGAGAAAAAACCAUAAGAUGUUUCAGAGAUUCUUUGUACAUCUUUAUGUUUUGUGUCAUAAUUCUAUAGAGAUCCCGUUUCAAGUUGAGUUAGUACUUUGCCGU